GGCAUUUGUUUAGACGUUAACUGGUAGAUAAAGCAUCACUAAUUAACAAUUAAUAAAUAAAUAAUUACUGGUGACAAUAUUGCGAUGAUUGAUUAACUAGUCACGUUGGUUAUAUUCGUAUUCAAUGCUUUCAAUAUAACUAGUGGCAUUCUGUAACACCACGUGCUAGUUUUAUAUCUAGUUUCUAACUAGAUAUAACAUUUACAAUUAAACUUUCAUACAUCAAUUAAGUGGUCACUUGAUUUCUAAGUAGUCAUCGCUGAUCGCGGGUGAAUGUAAUGUCGAUAAACAGUGUUUAGUUUACUAGACUUUCAAUUUAUUAUAACAGUGCUACUACCAUUCCAUUCUGUAUAGGUUAAGUUAUGGAAUAUAUCAAUCUGUAUUAUUUUUCCAUCCAUUAAGUAAUUAUAAGUGUAUAUACAAAUACUAGAUAAAUAAAUAACAUAGCAAAAUAGUUUUUAAAUUGUGUAUAUAAUUAAUUAUUUAUUAAAUUAUGUUAUUAUUCUUAUAUGUUAUUUAGUUGAGUAUUUUUGUCAGCUCACUGUAUUCAUCCACAAAUAGCUAAUCAUAUAACGUAUUGUUCAUGCAAUUCAAAUUAUAAAUUAAUUAAUUAAUUAAUAACCAAUAUAUAAAAGAUUACUAAAUAAAUAAUUACAGUAGUUAAUUAAAUAGAUGGACAAAACAGAAUAGAUAAAAGUAGAUCACAGAUAAUUAAUUUUCUUACUUGUUGGUUAAAAUAGUUUUUAUGAGCUAUACCCUGUAUCUAAGCCUUAUAGAAAGUUUAUAUUCUGUUUCAUUUGGUUGCCUAGCCUUUAUUAUGGAACCACAAAAUGCUUGGAAGUGAUUCCAUAUGUCACUGUCUGCUGUAACUAAGGUAAUUAUAUUCUUGGUGUUUAAAGUAUCACUGGCAUGGUUUUCAAGAGCUGUACGUUGGGAGGCCCAUCUUGGAUAUUUAAACAAUGGGUGUUCAGCAUCAUCUAGCUCUUCUUUACAAUACCAGCAUUGGUUAUUGUUUUCUUUAUUUAUUGUUAUUCUGUAUAUGUUAAAGAUACCAUGUCUGGUAAGCAUUUGCAUUGUACAAUGUUUAAUAAGUUUUUUAUUCUUUAUAAAGAUGGCUGCAUUGUCUAUCAAUUUUCUUGUCUAAUUAUCUUUCUUAUACAGGGUCCAUUCCUUCCUCUGAUCCUCUAUUGCUGUUUCUUCCAAUUAUUCUAUCUUUUACCUGAGUGACAUUUGCACCUUAUCAGUUAUGUUUCCUACCGUCUUUAAUGUGUGCCUUUUUUCACCUCAUACACCUUUCCUUGCAGCUGUGCUUUAAUGUAUAUUGACAUGUUGCCAUUAUAAGCUAUUGAUGUCCAUAUUAGGGUCGAUCUUUGUGCUUUUUUAAAUAUUUUUUUACUUUUAGUCAUUUUUAGAACCUCAGCCCAUACAGGAGAGGUUUAUAGUAUCACCAAUUCCCAGACAUUGUAGUACAAUUUUCUAACGAGAUUAGUGGGGCCAUUUACGUUGGUAAGGAGUCCUCUCAGAACUCCGACUAAUGCAUCGGCUCUAUCGCAUACUGUUUCCAGAAAUCUGCAAAUUUGCUAACUUUUGUGAUGGCAUCGACCAUGCUCCUGCAUCUGUGAAAACCAUAUCGGUUUUUGUGAUGUGGAUCCUGUUCCAGUUAUUUCUUAAUAGAGGAUUUAAAAGUAUUCUCCCAUACCUUGCUCAUCACAGGUAGGAUACUUAUGGGGCAAUAGAAAGUAGGAAGGAGAGGAUCCUUUCCUGAUUUUGCUAGCAAUACUACUCUGGAACCCCAUCCAUGCCAGCCGUCUUUGUAGAAUUUAAUUGUCUGAUGGCAUUCGCUAACUCCUCCAUUUGGACGGUGACACAUACAUUGUCGCUUGUUACUUCCUCGUAUUUGCUAUCCCAUCUCCUUUCUUCGGCAGUUAUGUUUAUUUUUGUGGUGAAAAGUGUAUCUAUAAUGCUAUUAAUUUUAUUUGAGUUCGUUAUCUGUUGGUUUCUUGUUUUUUAGUUUACUUAUAAUGCUUCUAUAGGGUUUACCCCAUGGAUCCCAUUUUAAGGUUGCAACGAAUUCCUUCCAUGCUUGCUUUUUGUUUUUCUGAAUUAAUAUUUUCAGUUUCUUCUUUUUUUUUGCUUACAUAUCUUAGUAAGAUCCUCUGCAUUGCUGACUAAGAUUAAUACAGGUUCAUUGGGCAACCCCUCUACUUUUAUUCACUAUUUCUCUAAGUGAGGCUAUAUCCUCAUUCUACCAAUAGUUUUCGUUCUUCUUACCCCUUGAUGGGAAGACUUUUUUAAUUUGACUUCACACGUUUUUUAUAUAAUAUUUUGGAGAACUUCUCCAUGAUUCGUCCUGUCAAUUAUAAAAUUUAUUAUUAGAUUGUUUUUUAUUUCGUCAAAUUUAUUAGUAAACCUGUCCGAAUCAAAGGCCUCUGACGAAAAUUUAUAAUGACCUCAAUUUCUGUUGAUCGUCGUAUUUUAAAAUUCGUGUAAUGCAUAAAGGUGACCUGAAGUAUUAAAAAUUUGUGGGAUGUUUGUUCUUUUAUAAAGCCUAGUUAACCCUAGCUAAACCUAGCGAAGGUACUACCUCUUUUGUCGGUUUUAUCUCUGCCCCGCGCUGCCGAUUUUGCAUUAUAAUCGGCAGUAAUAAUUAUUUUUCUUUGUUUUUUAUAUAUCUUUUUAAUUAAACUUUCUAGUUUAUUAAUGUAUUUGUAAUAGCUAUCUUUGUUGAUGUUAGGGAACAAUAUCCACUCACACAGUAAAAUUCUCCUAUUCUUAUUCCCACCAUAUCGUGUUCCUGAAUUAUGGUAUCUUCACAUGGGUAUGCGCCAUUAAAUAACAUAACCCAUAUGGAUGCAUCUCCUUUUGUGUCGUUGUAUCAGUACGUCUGUUUUUUAUUAAGUUCAGAGAUGGUAACAAUACUGCUCUAACUUCGCAAGCGUAUUGGUACAUUAAAUCCUGCGCUAACUUGCAGCGAUUUAAAUUGAUCUGCAAGAUCUUUAUCUUUUUAGUCUAAUAUUGCCCUCUUUCAUCGCUCUUCUGUAUAUAAUGCACGUCAAUGACCCAGUGACGUGUAUUUUAUUUUUUGAUUCUUGUGCACUGCACGUGGUGCAGUACGAUUCGUUAUUGCAAUAUGCCUUAUUGUUGUCCCUAGCUCCACAUUUCUUGCAGAGCUCCUUUCCUGGGCUGAC
This is a long non-coding RNA of Bombus terrestris (buff-tailed bumblebee), 3188 nucleotides long. RefSeq lists it as uncharacterized. The record is from RefSeq and is a predicted model, not a curated record. NCBI's taxonomy places the organism in Eukaryota, Metazoa, Arthropoda, Insecta, Hymenoptera, Apidae. The transcript has 3 exons.